Molecule: ribosomal RNA, 406 nt
Filed under: uncultured bacterium
Lineage: Bacteria
Description: partial 16S ribosomal RNA
Rfam family: Bacterial small subunit ribosomal RNA
Source: RNAcentral
AUUGAACGCUGGCGGCAGGCUUAACACAUGCAAGUCGAGCGAGCGGCGGACGGGUGAGGAAUGUCUGGGAAACUGCCUGAUGGAGGGGGAAAACUACUGGAAACGGUAGCAAAUACCGCAUACAAUCAGAUGGGCCCAGAGGGGAUUAGCUAGUAGGUGGGGUAAUGGCUAACCUAGGCGAAGAUUCCUAGCUGGUCUGAGAGGAUGACCAGCCACACUGGCACUGAGACACGGUCCAUACUCCUACGGGAGGCAGCAGUAGGGAAUAUUGCACAAUGGGCGCAAGCCUGAUGCAGCCAUGCCGCGUGUGUGAAGAAGGCCUUCGGGUUGUAAAGCACUUUCAGCAAGGAGGCGUUACUCACAGAGGAAGCACCGGCUAACUCCGUGCCAGCCGCCGCGGUAAUAC